This 253-nucleotide non-coding RNA is filed under the name Methylotenera mobilis. RNAcentral also lists the same sequence under 1 other name. The record is from RNAcentral. Lineage: Bacteria; Pseudomonadati; Pseudomonadota; Betaproteobacteria; Nitrosomonadales; Methylophilaceae.
UAAUUGUCGUUGUUGAUAGGUGCCAUGUUUGUUGUUAACAAACAAGGUGAAACUGGGAAAUAGGUGCGUUAAUACGUCAUUCUGAGCGGAUAACAAUCCCUGUGCUGCCCCCGCAACGGUAAGUGAAUAUGAUUUUCAAUCAUAUUGUUUUGCAAUAAACCACUGAGCCACGCUAUUUUGAUAGCCCCUGCUUGGGAAGGUGCAAAACAUGUCAUUCACGAGCCCGGAGACCGGCCUCGCAACAAUUAGUUGG